This is a long non-coding RNA of Carassius auratus (goldfish), 1000 nucleotides long. RefSeq lists it as uncharacterized. Lineage: Eukaryota; Metazoa; Chordata; Actinopteri; Cypriniformes; Cyprinidae. The transcript is spliced from 7 exons. The record is from RefSeq and is a predicted model, not a curated record.
UUGCAACUUCGGUAUUAAAUACAGCUAUUGUUCAAAGAAAAAAAAAGAAAGAAAAUUCUGAAUUUUAAAGCAUAUUUAUUUGCAGUAACUAUGGUAUUUUGACGUAGUUUGAGAGUGCUUCCAUAUGUGUGUUUCCUGAACGCCAACGCCUGUGCAACGAAGGCCUGUGACGUUGACGUAAACUCGCUCAGACAGAAGUCCUAAAGUGUGAGAGUGAAAAGAAAAAAGUGUGAGAGAGAAUCUGAAAACUUUGAUUACACGGAUACGAGCAGAGAGGAAAGAGGAUGGCACCUAAGCGAAGGGCAAAAUCCAGCACCAAAGUUGGAGGGAAGAAGAUUAAGGAGGAGCCUCCUUAAUUAAGGCAAGUUCACCUCUGCCAAAGAUGCUCUGAAGGCAACAGGUCCGCAGGUGAAGGGCACGAGGAACCCAUCUUCUGUCAUCUAUCAAAUGCUGAGUGUCUGAAGGAAAGUACUAUUGUUGGACAAGAUGAGGCUGAGUGAGAGAGUUGGGCAAGUACAAUUUAGCUGGUCCAUCUACCGCUGAUGUGGCCAUCUAGAGUUUUGAAAAGAAAUUCAAAGAGAAGACAAAAAAAUAAUUGUAGCGAUCGAGAAAACUUCGUCUCGCAUUCUGGGAAGUACACACUGAUUGAGGUAGAUGGCGACCAGGAUGCAGAAGUGAAGAUGGUGGAGAUGUUAAGGUGAAAAGUGAACAACAAGUUCUUCCUUCUACAGUGGAUGAGGCAACUCAAAGACUCAUUUCAAUUCAUCUUCGACAAUGACAUGUUCAAAGAAGCCAUGACCAGCAUGAACUUGGAUAUUAAGAAGAUGCCCUUGGGGAAACACAGCAAGCAAGAGAUAGCCAAAGGCUUUGAGGCUUUGGAGGAGAUUGAAGCUGCAAUAAAGAAGGGGGAACGGAACAAAUCAUUGAGAAGUACUUGAAUGCCACUGGAAGAAAAGUGCUUACUUGGUGGAGGUCUGGGAAGUUGAGAGAGAUACAGAGG